This 117-nucleotide small nuclear RNA is filed under the name Salmo trutta (river trout). RNAcentral describes it as "U5 spliceosomal RNA (ENSSTUG00000022737.1)". It matches the Rfam family "U5 spliceosomal RNA". Rfam says of the family: U5 RNA is a component of both types of known spliceosome. The precise function of this molecule is unknown, though it is known that the 5' loop is required for splice site selection and p220 binding, and that both the 3' stem-loop and the Sm site are important for Sm protein binding and cap methylation. The record is from Rfam by way of RNAcentral. Lineage: Eukaryota; Metazoa; Chordata; Actinopteri; Salmoniformes; Salmonidae.
CGACUCUGGUCUUCUCUUCAUUACGCACAAGCCUUCGCCUUUUACUAAAGACUUCCGUGGAGAGGAACACUUACGAGUUCAACAUAUUUUUGGAAGGGCUUUGCUUCUGGCAUAGCC